UGGGGAAUAUUGGACAAUGGAGGAAACUCUUAUCCAGCAACUCUGUGUGUGUGAAGAAGGUUUUAGGACUGUAAAACACUUUUAGUAGGGAAGAAAAAAAUGACGGUACCUACAGAAGCAGCAACGGCUAAAUACGUGCCAGCAGCCGCGGUAAUACGUAUGUUGCGAGAGUUAUCCGGAAUUAUUGGGCUUAAAGGGCAUCUAAGCGGUAAGACAAGUUGAAGGUGAAAAACUGUGGCUCAACCAUAGGCUUGCCUACAAAACUGUUGAACUAGAGUACUGGAAAGGUGGGUGGAACUACACGAGUAAAGGUGAAAUUCGUAGAUAUGUGUAGGAAUGCCGAUGAUGAAGAUAACUCACUGGACAGGAACUGACACUGAAGUGCGAAAGCUAGGGGAGCAAACAGG
Molecule: ribosomal RNA, 407 nt
Filed under: Verrucomicrobiota bacterium
Lineage: Bacteria; Pseudomonadati; Verrucomicrobiota
Description: Verrucomicrobia bacterium partial 16S ribosomal RNA
Rfam family: Bacterial small subunit ribosomal RNA
Source: RNAcentral